This 301-nucleotide ribosomal RNA is filed under the name uncultured bacterium. Its description in RNAcentral is "partial 16S ribosomal RNA". It matches the Rfam family "Bacterial small subunit ribosomal RNA", at positions 509 to 807 of the family's 1533-position model. The record is from RNAcentral.
CAGCCGCCGCGGGAAUACGAAGGUCCCGAGCGUUGUUCGGAAUCACUGGGCGUAAAGGGAGCGUAGGCGGCGUGGUAAGUCAGAUGUGAAAUCCCGGGGCUCAACCCCGGAACUGUAUCCGAUACUGCCAUGCUAGAGGAUUGGAGAGGUAGCUGGAAUUCUUGGUGUAGCAGUGAAAUGCGUGGAGAUCAAGAGGAACACUCGUGGCGAAAGCGAGCUACUGGACAAUAACUGACGCUGAGGCUCGAAGGCCAGGGUAGCGAGAGGGGUUAGAUACCCCAGUAGUCCCUGUCUCUUAUAC